UACAGAGGGUGCAAGCGUUGUUCGGAAUUACUGGGCGUAAAGAGUGUGUAGGCGGUGCUCUAAGUUUGGUGUGAAAUCUCCCGGCUUAACUGGGAGGGUGCGCCGGAAACUGGAAUGCUUGAACAUGGGAGAGGAAAGCGGAAUUCCUGGUGUAGCGGUGAAAUGCGUAGAUAUCAGGAGGAACACCUGCGGUGUAGACGGCUUUCUGGACCAUUGUUGACGCUGAGACACGAAAGCGUGGGUAGCAAACAGG
RNAcentral lists this ribosomal RNA (253 nucleotides) under uncultured bacterium. RNAcentral's name for it is "partial 16S ribosomal RNA". It matches the Rfam family "Bacterial small subunit ribosomal RNA", at positions 524 to 776 of the family's 1533-position model. The record is from RNAcentral.